AGCCUGUGGUUCCCUUCCAGAAAGCAGGCGUGUGAUGUCAUUUGGAGGAAGAGAAAUGACAGCAGAUGCGACUGCUGAUUAGUGGAAGCUAGAAGCGUGGAGCCGCUCAGGCAGGAAGCGGAGAGGCUACCGAAACAAAAAGCAGAAGCAUCUGCCGUCGACACGGAAAGUCUAAGGCACAAAGAAACCCACCAGCAGAGCCCCUCGCCGGGAGCUGGGGAAUCUGUACAGCUGUGUCAAAGGCAGAGUGCGGAUCCGAGAGUUCACCUGUUUACACGCUUCCACUUGGGAUCUUAACCACCCUGAGCUUUGCACAACCCAGCCCGAGUCAGGCGACGCAGAAGAAAGGUCAUCAGAACCCCCCAGGCACAUCUGGGGAGCCCUGCCCGACCCAGGAACAAGCGGGAGAUGACUUCCAGAAAGACGGGGCAGAGUCCACAUCUGCCAAGGACGGGAACCUCAGCCCUUCUUUCUUAUUCCCUUAGCUCCAAAGCCACUGAUGUAAAAACCCAGUCCUCUGUGCCUCAGCAGGGUCACUGUCAGCUCUUACUGCUGCUAUGAAGUCACAGAACAGAACUGUGCCAGGAGGGCCAGACACCUGUCUGCGGGGACACCCGGUGACGAGAGCAUCUCCCUGACAAGAGCAACCAGACACCAUUCAGCAGGCAACGCUUCACACGCUGACGCAGGAAGCACAGGUCCUGCCCGUGUCAACUCGCUCACCGGGGGCCAAGACGCUCUCGCAGCGCAGACGUGUGGAUCUGGGCAGAGCGGAGAGGCGCCGGGGAGGACAAGACCCAGGGACGCAGAUGCCAGAACCCCGGGCCCCAGCGGCCUCUUCCCACAGGCCCUUCCUCGACGGUCGCGCCCGCACCGCCUACUUGGUUCAGGGGUCUCUCCCACGGUACCAGCAGCCACGCCGCACUGUGAGGCGCCUGUGGUUUUCUCCUCCCCAGGGGCUCCUCUGGGACAGGGACCCUUGUGUGCUGUGGAACCUGUAAGUCUCUCUACCACAGUGCCUGGCUCACGGCACCCGUGUAAAUGUCUGCUUUAGACCCUACUAGGCCUCUUUUAUCCAAACACCAAGUGCCCUGAUACAUUUUACAGAAUGUGAAAUAGCAACUUACUAACACUAAAAGGGGCACAGGGAAAACAGCUAUGAAACCACAUUUGAUUCAGGCCGUGGCUCUGCUAAUUAGUUAAUUAGUCUGUUCUCAGGGCCUCAGUUUCCCCAUCUAUCAAAUGAAAGGAGGGUCCACAUUUCCUAAGUUCCUUCAGUCUGUUAUUCCACAAGAUUCUUCAUGUUACAUCUCCUAAAGAAGGGAAUAAUUUUCCAAAGUAAAUCCCACUGAAUUGUCCCACGAGGUUCAUGCAGUGUGACAUUUCAACCUCUACGUUACCUGAAUUACCACUAAUUACCACCCCUCAGAGCACGGUCAGGGAGGGGCCCUGACUGGAGGAGUCUGGACAGAGGCGACCACCACACAAGAGGCUACUGGGGGCAAGUCCAGAGGUGGAUGGGUCAGAGUUAGAACCGGUCUGCAGUCAUGGUCGGGGAGUGGGGAGGAGGCUGUAUUCUAGGCCUUUCACUCCUAGGCCUGCCUCUGGCCCCCAUCUAGCUAACUUCUAUGACUCUACCACAUGGGACAUUCUCUGGCCACCUUUCUGAUGUUACCAGACCAGAAGAGACGAUGGCAGCAGGAAAGGAGGCUCCCCUGGGGAAGGCUCACACAGGCAUCAACAAGAGGAACAACCUGGAAGGUUUCAACUCCGUCAAAACUGUAUUCUUGCCUCUGCUGUGUUCCUUCUCCGGGAGCAGACUGCGAGGGAGUGACCUCGAUGCCACGCUCCUUGUCAUUUCUACGGUCUGCGAGCAUCUCCAUGUAAGCAGGGGAAGCUGCCCCAGUCAGCAGUGGAAGAGAGGUUACGGACCCCUGAACGGGAAUGCCGGGAUUUCUCAGCAAUGUCCCGUUCUGGGCAUAAAGAGGUCACUGCAGAAAGACCCUUGGGGAAUGACUCAUUCUAAUCAGUAAAAGAAAACACUCUGAGGAUGUUUCACUAAAGAACCGGAAACCACUGGCCCUUGUUAAUUUGUCCAGUUCUCUAAGACUUGAAAAUAACCAAUUUUGAUAAAGAAGUUGCUGUUUUACUACAGAGAAAAAGCAGAAUCACGAAGAGAAAUCCACCUAACUCCCGAGAUGCCAACGUGGCUAUGCCCUUCUUCCCAUCAUGCAAUGCAAUUCCUAGGAUCUAGACCCCAGGGAAGCUUGGCUCAAGACUUUACGCCUCUCCAGCCAACAGUCUUCCAGGAAGGGCCAAAGAGGCAACAGAGCAGGUGGAGCCUAGAUGACUUACGACAUUUCAGUUAGAUCAAGCAAUUGCCAGAAAUCAAAGAGCCACUGGCUGAGGACAUUCUGAUGCUCCUUCUCCCUCCAAACAGAGAAGAUUCUAGCGAUGACACACUGGGCUCCACGAAAUAAUUUGUUUCCAGAAGAAACAGACUCCUCGGGUGACUUAAUGCUAAAGUUUACAAGUUAAACCAAAGAGGUUCAAUCCAGGAAAGUCCCAUCCCAUUAUAAACACUGUUAGCAUAAAACUAGUAGCCAA
Long non-coding RNA from Neofelis nebulosa (Clouded leopard), 2607 nucleotides. RefSeq lists it as uncharacterized. Lineage: Eukaryota; Metazoa; Chordata; Mammalia; Carnivora; Felidae. The transcript has 2 exons. The record is from RefSeq and is a predicted model, not a curated record.